This 372-nucleotide ribosomal RNA is filed under the name uncultured bacterium. RNAcentral's name for it is "bacterial SSU rRNA". It matches the Rfam family "Bacterial small subunit ribosomal RNA", at positions 523 to 898 of the family's 1533-position model. The record is from RNAcentral.
AUACGUAGGGGGCGAGCGUUAUCCGGAAUUAUUGGGCGUAAAGGGUUCGCAGGCGGCCAUUUAAGUCAGAUGUGAAAGAUAGUGGCUUAACCAUUAUAAGCAUUUGAAACUGGGUGGCUUGAGUACAGGAGAGGAAAGCGGAAUUCCUAGUGUAGCGGUGAAAUGCGUAGAUAUUAGGAGGAACACCAGUGGCGAAGGCGGCUUUCUGGACUGAAACUGACGCUGAGGAACGAAAGCGUGGGGAGCAAACAGGAUUAGAUACCCUGGUAGUCCACGCUGUAAACGAUGAGUGCUAGGUGUUGGGGGUCGAACCUCAGUGCCGCAGCUAACGCAUUAAGCACUCCGCCUGGGGAGUACGGUCGCAAGACUGAA